Molecule: ribosomal RNA, 300 nt
Filed under: Triticum aestivum (bread wheat)
Lineage: Eukaryota; Viridiplantae; Streptophyta; Magnoliopsida; Poales; Poaceae
Description: partial small subunit ribosomal RNA
Source: RNAcentral
AUGAUCAUGUGGUCGAAAGUCUGGGUCAAACAAAUAAGAAUAUGCCGCGACAACCCUGCGAACUCGGUUUGUCUUGCAGCAUGGUCUCACUCCCUGAUUUGUGUUGGAUGCAAAAAAUUGUUGAUUGAAAGAUUGUUGUGCUCACAAGGAGAUGUCUAUCUCAGUUUGUUCUUCUUUCCAUCACAUACUGUGAAUAUUGGGUAUACAAUUUGCUUAUACAGUUCUGCAGCCAGAUUUCUGGUUUCUAAUGUUACAAAAUCGUCGCACAAAGAAUCCUCAGCUAGCAUCAGAAAUACCUGA